RNAcentral lists this ribosomal RNA (256 nucleotides) under uncultured bacterium. Its description in RNAcentral is "partial 16S ribosomal RNA". It matches the Rfam family "Bacterial small subunit ribosomal RNA", at positions 524 to 776 of the family's 1533-position model. The record is from RNAcentral.
UACGUAGGGUGCGAGCGUUGUCCGGAAUUAUUGGGCGUAAAGAGCUUGUAGGCGGUUUGUCGCGUCUGCUGUGAAAAUCCGGGGCUCAACCCCGGACUUGCAGUGGGUACGGGCAGACUAGAGUGUGGUAGGGGGAGACUGGAAUUCCUGGUGUAGCGGUGGAAUGCGCAGAUAUCAGGAGGAACACCGAUGGCGAAGGCGGCUCUCUGGGGACGGUACUGACGCUGAGACGGCGAAAGCGUGGGGAGCGAACAGG